This is a long non-coding RNA of Dendroctonus ponderosae (mountain pine beetle), 1596 nucleotides long. RefSeq lists it as uncharacterized. The record is from RefSeq and is a predicted model, not a curated record. The transcript is spliced from 2 exons. Lineage: Eukaryota; Metazoa; Arthropoda; Insecta; Coleoptera; Curculionidae.
UUUUUGCAGGGGGUGUGUACUGUUAAAAAGGCCACUAUCCUCCUUAUUUUUUCCCUGCUGAGACCUAGCAGUUCAUUUUGACGUACUGGUUGUGGAGGUCCCACCAACUGCUUUGCGGUAUGGAGUCGCGGUAUCUCCUCCCAGUACUUUCUGUGUUGUUCCAAGAUCCACCGCGCAACUGCCACCCUAACUUGGGCAUGAGAUAUAACACAAGCAGGUUUUUGGAUGGUCAGUGGUUUCUCGGUCCCUGCCUUAGCAAGUUCCGCAGUAAUCUCGUUUUCUUUGUUCCUGUUCGUACCAGUUGCCCAAGUGAGUUUUACUCUGUUUCAGCUCCCGGCCAGGGUUGUACGUUCUUUUACACAAUCUAGCACACAUUGUAACCUGAUUGUGUACGAUUCUAAUGCCUUUAUUGUGGCUUCAUCUCCGGUUACGAUGGUAAUAAUGUGCUUACGUGUGUAGGCUCUUUCCUUGAUUUUCCGGGCGCAAUUUGUUAUUGCUAGGAUGCUUGCUUGGAAAGCUGUCGUAGUUGUACCCAGGGUUAAGGUGAUCCUUUCCCCAGUUCUUCCUCUUUCGACUAUACCAGCCCCUGUGUCCGACGCUGUUUUUAUGCCCUCCGUGUACCAUACGGAGUCCCCUGUGAUGGCUGAUAGAGUCUCUCCACCAUCUCGCCCCUCAUUUAGAACAUAUGUUCUAAAAGGUACCGAGAUGCUUAGAGUUUUGAUUCGAUCAGCUUUUGAUCCUAUAGGUUCGACUGUCUUCCAUUUUCUGAACAUCGCACUGUGUCCCAAAUCCGUCGCUUACAUCGCAUCGUCACCCAUACGGUAAGCGCUUCUUAGGGCCUCAGCUUCAAUGGAUAUAUGCAACGGCUCCAGCCCCAGGAGUGUCUCCAUAGCGGCCGUCGGUCUCGUUGACAUCGCUCCAGUUAUUCCCAGACACGCCAGCCUCUGAACUUUGUUCAGGGAAUGUGGAUAUGUGCUGAUUUUGGUUCUAUGCCACCAUAUGACGGCGGAAUAUGUGAUUAUGGGUUUCACAAUGGUGACGUACGUCCAGUACACCAUCUUCGGUGAAAUUCCCCAUGUUUUUUCAAAAGUGCGUUUGCAGGUUCAUGAAGCCCUGAUCGCCUUGUUUGUUUUCUGUUCCACAUGUUCUUUAAGCAACAGCUUCUUAUCCAGGGUUACUCCAAGAUAUUUAACAGUGUCAGACAUGUGUAUUUUGUUCCCAUAUAUAGACAUUUGUCUUAGGGCUCUAAGAUAUGUUCCUUGUGAAAGCGAUAAUAGAUGUCUUGGGUGGGCUAAUUUUCAGCCCUUCCGUGUUACACCAUUGUUCGGUGAUGUUUAGCGCCUGCUGCAUCAAUGAUGAUACAGUGUCUCCAAACCUUCCCUGUACAACAAUGGAGAUAUCAUCCGCAUAUCCCAGUGCGUAGAAACCUUUCCCUUCAAGAGACGACAGGAGCCGGUCCACCACCAGGCUCCACAGCAGAGGCGACAAAACUACCCCCUGUGGGACAGUAACCGUUCUGCAACUCAGCAUGUUUUGGAUCCAUUUACAUAUUAUAGGCUCCACUCCACGAUUUUUCACCGCUCUGACGAUUGACUG